UCGGGAAUUUUGGGCAAUGGGCGAAAGCCUGACCCAGCAACGCCGCGUGGAGGAUGAAGAUCUUCGGGUCGUAAACUCCUUUCGAUCGAGACGAACAGUCUCCGGGUGAACAAUCCGGAGGUUUGACGGUACCGAGAGAAGAAGCCCCGGCUAACUCCGUGCCAGCAGCCGCGGUAAUACGGGGGGGGCAAGCGUUGUUCGGAAUUACUGGGCGUAAAGGGCUCGUAGGCGGCCAACUAAGUCAGACGUGAAAUCCCUCGGCUUAACCGGGGAACUGCGUCUGAUACUGGAUGGCUUGAGUUUGGGAGAGGGAUGCGGAAUUCCAGGUGUAGCGGUGAAAUGCGUAGAUAUCUGGAGGAACACCGGUGGCGAAGGCGGCAUCCUGGACCAACACUGACGCUGAGUGAGCGAAAGCCAGGGGAGCAAA
RNAcentral lists this ribosomal RNA (427 nucleotides) under uncultured bacterium. Its description in RNAcentral is "bacterial SSU rRNA". It matches the Rfam family "Bacterial small subunit ribosomal RNA", at positions 355 to 772 of the family's 1533-position model. The record is from RNAcentral.